AUGGUGAGAUCAUAUACAACCGGCAGGGCUUACGGCAAGGAGAUAUGGUGUCGCCACUCUUGUUCGUCCUGGUCAUGGAGACUUCACCACCUGUUGGGUUCGGCCAUGACGGCGGGUGUAUUGCAGCCGCUUGCGCCCACAGGCUUCCGCCAACGCACAUCCAUUUAUGCCGAUGAUGUGGUCACCUUCAUCAAACCAGACUUGCAAAGUCUCAGGGCAUGCACCAUGUUGUUACGUGACUUUGGUCAGGCUACAGGGCUGCACACCAACCUGAUAAAGAGCUCCGCCCACGCUAUUAGAUGCACUGACGAGCAAAUUCUGCAGAUCGCCACCGAGUUGGAGUGCCAGGUGCUGAGUUGGCCCUUCCAAUAUCUUGGGCUACCGCUUGGUUUGCGGAAGGUUUCAGUGGCCCAGCUACAAUACUUUAUUGAUAAGAUGGCGGAUCGUCUGCCUUCCUGGCAGGCCAGUCUUCUCUUUCAUGCGGGAAGGUUGGAGCUCCUGCGCACUACCCUGGCCUCCAUGCCAAUUCAUGCUAUGAUGGCGCUUGACUUGCCGGUCAAAACCAUUGCCGCGGCCAACAAGAUAUGUCGUGGAUUUCUAUGGAAGGGGUGUCACAAUGUGCAAGGUGGGCAUUGCCUGGUAGCCUGGGAUCGGGUGUUGCUACAUCUUGAGCUUGCGUUUGUUUUCCUUGAAGAGGAAAGGGUGAUGCAGCAAUAG
Molecule: ribosomal RNA, 717 nt
Filed under: Triticum aestivum (bread wheat)
Lineage: Eukaryota; Viridiplantae; Streptophyta; Magnoliopsida; Poales; Poaceae
Description: partial small subunit ribosomal RNA
Source: RNAcentral